GGACCUGACUGCUAUCGGAUUGAUACUAAGCCAUGCGAGUCAUUGUAGCAAUACAAGGCAUACGGCUCAGUAACGCGUAGUCAACCUAACCUAUGGACGGGAAUAACCUCGGGAAACUGAGAAUAAUGCCCGAUAGAACAUUAUACCUGGAAUGGUUUAUGUUCCAAAUGAUUUAUCGCCGUAGGAUGGGACUGCGGCCUAUCAGUUUGUUGGUGAGGUAAUGGCCCACCAAGACUAUUACAGGUACGGGCUCUGAGAGGAGUAGCCCGGAGAUGGGUACUGAGACACGGACCCAGGCCCUAUGGGGCGCAGCAGGCGAGAAAACUUUGCAAUGUGCGAAAGCACGACAAGGUUAAUCCGAGUGAUUUCUGCUAAAGAAAUCUUUUGUUAGUCCUAGAAACACUAACGAAUAAGGGGUGGGCAAGUUCUGGUGUCAGCCGCCGCGGUAAAACCAGCACCUCAAGUGGUCAGGAUGAUUAUUGGGCCUAAAGCAUCCGUAGCCGGCUCUGUAAGUUUUCGGUUAAAUCUGUACGCUCAACGUACAGGCCGCCGGGAAUACUGCAAAGCUAGGGAGUGGGAGAAGUAGACGGUACUCGGUAGGAAGUGGUAAAAUGCUUUGAUCUAUCGAUGACCACCUGUGGCGAAGGCGGUCUACUAGAACACGUCCGACGGUGAGGGAUGAAAGCUGGGGGAGCAAACCGGAUUAGAUACCCGGGUAGUCCCAGCUGUAAACUAUGCAAACUCAGUGAUGCAUUGGCUUGUGGCCAAUGCAGUGCUGCAGGGAAGCCGUUAAGUUUGCCGCCUGGGAAGUACGUACGCAAGUAUGAAACUUAAAGGAAUUGGCGGGGGAGCACCACAAGGGGUGAAGCCUGCGGUUCAAUUGGAUUCAACGCCGGA
This 897-nucleotide ribosomal RNA is filed under the name uncultured archaeon. Its description in RNAcentral is "bacterial SSU rRNA". It matches the Rfam family "Archaeal small subunit ribosomal RNA", at positions 19 to 922 of the family's 1478-position model. The record is from RNAcentral.